UGGUUCUGGCAUCGAUGAAGAACGCAGCGAAAUGCGAUAAGUAAUGCGAAUUGCAGAAUUUCCGUGAGUCAUCGAAUCUUUGAACGCACAUUGCGCCCUUUGGCAUUCCGAAGGGCAUGCCUGUUCGAGCGUCAUUAUCAACCUUCAAACCCCGUGUUUGGCGUUGGGCCCAGGUCGUGCUCUCCCGCGCGACCGGCUCCAAAGACAAUGACGGCGUCCGUGGGACCCUCGGUGCAACGAGCUUUUUCCAAAGCACGCGUCGAAGCGGAUCUGCGGGGGCCGGUCUCUGAUGAUUUUACAUCACUUCUCAGGUUGACCUCGGAUCAGGUAGGGAUACCCGCUGA
This 344-nucleotide unclassified non-coding RNA is filed under the name uncultured fungus. RNAcentral describes it as "partial contains 5.8S ribosomal RNA and internal transcribed spacer 2". The stretch from base 1 to 134 matches the Rfam family "5.8S ribosomal RNA", at positions 22 to 154 of the family's 154-position model. Lineage: Eukaryota; Fungi. The record is from RNAcentral.